RNAcentral lists this long non-coding RNA (1588 nucleotides) under Ananas comosus (pineapple). Its description in RNAcentral is "long non-coding RNA (ACOM_LNC012317)". Lineage: Eukaryota; Viridiplantae; Streptophyta; Magnoliopsida; Poales; Bromeliaceae. The record is from RNAcentral.
GAGAGAGAGAGAGAGAGAGAGAGAGAGAGAGCGAGCGUGCACGCGAAGGACGUAGUAAGUUAUCUGCUUCGUCCAUUUUCUAGAAAUGAACUCAAUUAGAAAAAUAUGAUAGUAAGCUAUCUGCUUCGCCCAUUUUCUAGAAAUAAACUCAUAAUUAGAAAAAUAUAAAGCAUCUAGGCUUUGAACUUAGUAUUUUUGAUACUAAUCAUCAAACUCUGAGCCAACUAUAUGUGCAAGGUACGAUUGGCAUCCUAGCUUAAGUUCGAUAGAAAGUCCAAAAUUUUGAGCAUGUAUUAUUUUUGUCUGCACGUGUGCUUGUGUAUAUACGUGAAUGUGUGCGCACAAACUACAUAUGCACACAUAUAAAUAUUAUUUCAUAAGUAUAUUUAUUAACCUAUAUGAAUUCUCAAUGAUUGUUGCCAUGUGGCGAGUUCUCCUCCAUUCUUGCUAGCAUGUGACCCUUCUUCUUCCCUUUAUUAAAUUUUUAAUAUGCAUUUUAACGGUCCCACUAACUAAACUUUCAAUUAGUGCAUUUAAAUGGUUUCACUAACAUCUACAAUUCUAUCGUUUCUAUCUACAAUUAUUCAUCAUGAUCCUUUACCUUCUCUUCACUAUACUUUCAAUUAAUGCAAACAGUCUCACUACCAAACUUUCAAUUAGUAUAUUUAAAUGGCCACACUACCAUUUACAAGCCUAACCUCUCUAUCUCCAAUUAUUCAUCAUGGUCCCUUUCCUUCCCUUCACCAGACUAAAUACUAACAUUUGUUACCAAACUUUGGUUACCGCCAAAUAUUAACAAUUGGGUGUCAUCAAAUAUCGCGACCAAAUGUCAACUUUUGGUGGCAACGUGAAGGUUAGCAUUUAGUGGGAAAAUAUUAUUGUCACAGAAAAUUGACAUUUGGUGGCGAUAUAUAUAUAGAGUCUAAGCUAGUAUAAUCUUGGAUAAGCUUCCACCCUAAAACAAACUUGCUCCCAGAAUAAGGUUAAAUAAAGUCUAAUCUAAUUUUAAUUAUGAUAUUAAUUUUUUUAAUUAAUCUAAUUAAUAUAUUUAAGUCAUUACCUAUUGCUUAAAUAGUAAAGUAAUUAAUUAAUUUACUAUUUAUAAUUAAUUAACUAAUUAAAAAUUAAUAUUUUAAUCAAUUUAUUUAAUAACCAAUAUUUAUAUUCAUCAAUUCAACCAUUAAUAUUUUGACUAAUCUAUUUAAUUUUUAACUAAUUAUGUAACUAAAAUAAUUUCCUAACUAAUUAAAAAUUAACUUAUUUUUAUAAUUAACUAAUUAAUUAACUAAUAUUUAUAUAUAUAUUAAUUUACUAAUUUAUUAUAAUAUCCAUAGCUAAUAAAUUUAUUAAUGUAUUGAAUUAUUUUUAACUAAUAUUUGAUAUUAAUUAAUUAAUUAAAAUAUUUUUAAUUUAAAAUUAUAAUUUUUGUUUUUUUUAUUCCAAUCUAAUUAUUCAAACAACAGUUUUCUUAUAUUUAGAAAUAACCUAAUUUUUAUUCAAAUAUAAAAUUGGUUUAGUUUCUAUUUAUAUCUCAACUUAUAUAUAUCUCUGUAAUAAAUAGUUUUUAGUUAUAUCCCAAUUAAACGCA